Molecule: long non-coding RNA, 1180 nt
Organism: Candoia aspera
Lineage: Eukaryota; Metazoa; Chordata; Lepidosauria; Squamata; Candoiidae
Exons: 3
Source: RefSeq, a predicted model, not a curated record
AAGCUCAGGCACUCAGUUAAUGAUGCAGCAGUACAGGGAAGACUAUCACAUGUGAGCUGGAAGGCUGCCAACAUGGAGACACGCAGAGAGCAAGCUAAACAUUUGAGCUUUGCAGGACUAGACAGCAGCAAAGGGUUUCCCUUCAAAAUGUUCCUAAGGAUGUGGGCAAUGUUUCUUGAACCUCAGGCAAUGAAUUAAUCCCUUCUCUAUGACUGAAUGAAGGCAAAAGCAUGAGGAGCAACAGUAGUCUAAUACCCAAAGUGUCAAUAUUAGAGAAGGACACUAGGGCUGAACUUAAAAUGGGAAAUAAAUCACUGUUGCUUUAAAAAAAGUCAGCACAAAUGUACUGAAAAGUGUGAAAGCUGCACCCUUAAAAAUGGAAAAUCUGUAAUCUUCCCCACUACUUCACAACUACUGAAAUUAUAGUGUAACUGUUCAAUCACAGGAAUCAGAAGUUUAAGAAGGAUAGAUAGCAUGUAAUAGGCAAAUGUCUUAUUAACUAUUAAGUAUGAGCAGACCAAGAAUAAAUGCCACUGAAACUUAACUCCAUGCAAAGAACAAAACAAGCAUUACCAGAGGGUCAGCAGAAUUAUCAAAUCACGAGAGAGAGAACUGCAAACUCCUACAGAGCAUUUUACCACGUCUUCUUUGAAACCAGGUAUGGGAAACUCCCGUUCUUCAGUCCCUGCACAACGUAAUUGUUUCACAUCAGCUAGCUCUCUAAAUGGAACAUGAGAUAAUGAUCUAAAGGCCACACUUGUGCUUAAUAAUUCUUCCACCAGUAGCACCAGCACUUACUAUAAUACCUACAAAAGGCAGUCUAGGGAUACAACAGAAUACUAAUUACUUUUUUUACUUUAGGAAAAAAAAUAGCUCAAGCUAUUAUUUACAUAACCUCUGCAAGUUCUUUGUAGGUUCAAAAAAUGACAAUGGCUAAAAUCAGUUCAAGGUUCUUAUUUAACCUGAAGUUGAAGAUGAAACAACACCAAGGGCAUAUGCAGCACCAAACAAGUUCCUUCCUGGGAAUAACUGAGGUGCAGCUAUUGAUACAUAAACUCUUUAUCCCAACCUCCAUGUAGUAAAAUGGCUGGUUAUAGAUAGAAGACAUUAGGAGUUACAAAUAGAAGAAUCUUUUCUAGAUAAAGAAUAAUGAGCAGGUAUGCCUUGACUUUAAUCUACU